This 423-nucleotide ribosomal RNA is filed under the name uncultured Paracoccaceae bacterium. Its description in RNAcentral is "bacterial SSU rRNA". It matches the Rfam family "Bacterial small subunit ribosomal RNA", at positions 939 to 1382 of the family's 1533-position model. The record is from RNAcentral. Lineage: Bacteria; Pseudomonadati; Pseudomonadota; Alphaproteobacteria; Rhodobacterales; Paracoccaceae.
AUGUGGUUUAAUUCGAAGCAACGCGCAGAACCUUACCAACCCUUGACAUGGAUAUCGCGGUUCCAGAGAUGGAGUCCUUCAGUUCGGCUGGAUAUCACACAGGUGCUGCAUGGCUGUCGUCAGCUCGUGUCGUGAGAUGUUCGGUUAAGUCCGGCAACGAGCGCAACCCACAUUCUUAGUUGCCAGCAUUCAGUUGGGCACUCUAGGAAAACUGCCGAUGAUAAGUCGGAGGAAGGUGUGGAUGACGUCAAGUCCUCAUGGCCCUUACGGGUUGGGCUACACACGUGCUACAAUGGUAGUGACAAUGGGUUAAUCCCAAAAAGCUAUCUCAGUUCGGAUUGGGGUCUGCAACUCGACCCCAUGAAGUCGGAAUCGCUAGUAAUCGCGUAACAGCAUGACGCGGUGAAUACGUUCCCGGGCCUU